CUAAGGAGCAUUCUCCGGUCGGGGUUCCGAACAGUCGGGGCCGCCGUCGGCAGAGCCACUACGAGCCCGAAUGUGGUUCGGUGGAAGCUCAUGGGUGGAACGCUGGCAUGUGCCUCACGUUUCGGUUGCUCUCGAUGGGGUGGCCGGUGGGGAUGUAGUCGACACACUGUUGGGUCCUGAAAGAACAGACGUUCUUUCCAGGCAAGAAAUACGAUCCGCCGGAUCUCGGUGAUACCGGCCUCGGUUUCCUCCCGUGGGGAGGGGUUGGGGUGUUGGUCCCGGUAAGGGUUUGGUUGGGUGUGUUGUUUGAGAACUGCACAGUGGACGCGAGCAUCUUUGUUUGUAAGUGUGUAAGAGCGUUC
Molecule: unclassified non-coding RNA, 362 nt
Filed under: Nocardia paucivorans
Lineage: Bacteria; Bacillati; Actinomycetota; Actinomycetes; Mycobacteriales; Nocardiaceae
Description: 16S-23S ribosomal RNA intergenic spacer
Source: RNAcentral